AGACGUCUACAUUAGAUACCCCCGUAGUCCCAGCCGUAAACUAUGCGCGUUAGGUGUAUCGGUGACCACGAGUUACCGAGGUGCCGAAGGGAAACCGUGAAACGUGCCGCCUGGGAAGUACGGUCGCAAGGCUGAAACUUAAAGGAAUUGGCGGGGAGCACCACAACAGGUGGAGCCUGCGGUUUAAUUGGACUCAACGCCGGGAAGCUCACCGGAUAAGACAGCGGAAUGAUUGCCGGGCUGAAGACUCUGCAUGACUAGCUG
This 264-nucleotide ribosomal RNA is filed under the name uncultured archaeon. Its description in RNAcentral is "partial 16S ribosomal RNA". It matches the Rfam family "Archaeal small subunit ribosomal RNA", at positions 714 to 982 of the family's 1478-position model. The record is from RNAcentral.